This 2786-nucleotide ribosomal RNA is filed under the name uncultured archaeon. RNAcentral's name for it is "bacterial LSU rRNA". It matches the Rfam family "Archaeal large subunit ribosomal RNA". The record is from RNAcentral.
ACUAAGCCAUUAGGCGGAUGACUUGGCUCAGACUUUGAUGAAGAGCGUGACAAGCAGCGAAAUGUUAUGGGGAGACGCAAGUAGUCUUCGAACCAUAAAUUCUUGAAUGAGACUUCUUUCCCUUUUAGGGAAUUCCAUUCUGGAAAAACUACGGAGGAAAUUGAAGCGUCUUAGUACCUCCAGGAAAAGAAAUCAAUAGAGAUACCGUUAGUAUCAGCGAGAGAAAACGGUGUAAGGCAAACUGAAUUCUUUGUAGAAAUACAAAGAAGGUGUGGUGUUGCGGACUUGUUUUUAUUCCUAAUUAAAAAUUACAAAGUUGUCUGGAAAGAUAUACCAUAGAGGGUGAUAGUCCCGUAGAAAUUUUUAAUGGAAGUACAAGUAUCCAGAGUAAGGUUUGCUGGAAACCAAACCUGAAUUUAGGAGUCACAAACUUCUAACUUUAAAUAUAGGUCUGAGUCCGAUAGAGCACAAGUACCGUGAGGGAAAGUUGAAAAGAACCCGCAAUAGGGAGUCAAAAGCGCCUGAAACCUAAUGGUCAUGGUAUGUUACGGCUCUAUGGGGUUGUAACGUACGUUUCGAAUAACGGGCCAGGAAGUUUAUUGCAGUGGCGAGAGUAAAGUUUUAAAGACUGUACUCGAAGGGAAACCAAUAGUAUGCAGUUCACGAGAUACGAAGUGCGAAAGUGCUUUUAGUCACUGCGAUAUGACCCGAAACCAGGUGAUCUAACCCUUAGCAAGGUGAAGUAGUGGUAAAACUCUAUGGAGGCCUGAAGACGGAUUUGGGGUUUUGGGGGGGAAACUCCUCGACUCUUUGUCCAACUCAAAAUGCUAUAACAUCUAAGAAGCGAGCAGACGGCAUUACCGGGGUAAACUUGUAAUGCUAGAGAGGAACAACUCAAGACUAUAGUUAAGGUCCCUAAAUUCUGAUUAAGUGUUAAAGGGUGAAAGAUGUUUACUACCAAAAACAGUGGGGAGGUAGGCUUAGAAGCAGCCACCCUUCAAAGAAAGCGUAAUAGCUCACCCAUCGAGGUAGUAAGCUCUUAAAAUGGACGGGGCUAAAUCAGAUACCGAUACUAUAGAUAAGUUUCAAUAGAAAUUUGUGGUAGGUAGGUAUUCCAUCAGGGCGGAAGCCUCUAUGUAAAUAGGGGUUGACCUUAUGGGAAUAAGAAUCCUGGCGGUAGUAGGAUCUAAACAGAGUGAAACUCUCUGAUACCGAAAGGGCAAGGGUUUCUUGGCCACGUAGAUCAGCCAAGAGUAAGUCGAUCCUAACUUUAGAAGCGUAAAUGCUUCAAGGGAAUGGGAAAAAGGUUAAUAUUCCUUUACCUUUCAAAUACGUGUGGUAACACAAGAUUAUUCAUUGACACUUUGGGCUAAGCUAGCAUUUACUGUCGUAAAUGUUAAUCUGUAUAAAUCUUAGGAGUGUUGUAAUGACGAGAACAAGAUUAAACUGAGAAUAGCAGGUUCUAAAUCUGUCUAGCCGAUGCCGAGAGUCCAUGAAAAGAUGAAUAAUAAGGAUUUUGAAUGAUCGUACCUAGAACCAACACUGGUGCCCCUAGGUGAGAAGCCUAAGGUAUGAGGGUGUAAUCUAGCUAAGGGAACUCGGCAAAUUAGUCCCGUGCCUUUGGUAUAAGGGAUCCCUGCGAUUGUGUUCUUUUGAAUGCAAUUACAGGGUGCAAUGACAAGGGGUGCCCGACUGUUUAACAAAAACAUAACCUCUCGCAAGUCCGUAAGGAUGUGUACGCGAGGUGACGCCUGCCCAGUACCUGUAAUUUAAACUCCUUUUCAAGGGGGCUAAGAUCAGGCAAACGGCGGGAAUAACUAUGAUUCUCUUAAGGUAGCGAAAUACCUUGUCGUUUUAUUGACGACGCGCAUGAAUGGCGUAACGAGGUGCCCACUGUCCCUAGCUAGAAACCCCUGAAUACACUCUUGUGGUGCAAAGGCCAUAGUCUUCUGAUGGGAAGUAAAGACCCCGUGAAGCUUUACUGUAGCUUGUUGUUGUGGUGUGGGGCGUAUUGUGCAGUGUAGGUAGUAGUCGUCCGAUGGUUUAGACGCAAGUUUAGACCUAGACAUCAAUGAGACACUACCCCUUAUGUCUUAUAUCACUAACUUUAGAAAUAAAGGACAGCAGUAGGCAGACAGUUUGGCUGGGGCGGCACCCUGCUGAAAAUGUAUCGGCAGGGCCCAAAGGUCAGCUCAGGAGGUUUAGAAAUCCUCUGUAGAGUGCAAGAGCAAAAGCUGGCCUGACUGUAUUCCUAUAAGUAUGGAAUGCAGGAUGGAAACAUGGGUCUAGCGAACCCUUAUGCCCUUAUUUGUGGGGGCUAAGUAUGACAGAAAAGCUACUCCGGGGAUAACAGAGUUGUCGCGCCUAAGAGCUCGCAUCGACGGCGCGGUUUGCUACAUCGACGUCGGCUCUUCCUAACCUGGUCGUGCAGAAGCGACCAAGGGUGGGGGUGUUCACCCAUUAAAAGGGAUCGUGAGCUGGGUUCAAAACGUUGCGAAACAGUUUGUUCAAUAUCUGUCAGAAGUGUCUGGUGUCUGAGAGGAAGGAGUAUUUAGUACGAAAGGAACAAUACUUCGGGGCCUCUGGUCUAUCGGUUGUCUGACAAGGCAGGCCGAGCAGCUACGCCCCAAGAAAUAACAGCUGAAAGCAUCUAAGCUGGAAGUUCUCCUCAAAAAGAGACACCUUCUUAGAGCUCUUCUAAAACAGAAGUUUAAUAGGGCUGGGAUGUAAGCAUCAAGGUAACGAGAUGUUCAGUCUGCAGCUACUAAUCGCUCAAAGGAUUAACU